This 367-nucleotide ribosomal RNA is filed under the name uncultured bacterium. Its description in RNAcentral is "bacterial SSU rRNA". It matches the Rfam family "Bacterial small subunit ribosomal RNA", at positions 1 to 334 of the family's 1533-position model. The record is from RNAcentral.
CUGUACAGUUCAGAGUUUGAUCCUGGCUCAGGACGAACGCUGGCGGCGUGCCUAACACAUGCAAGUCGAACGGAGUAAAACGCUGAUUUGAUGUUAGCUUGCUAACGGAUUUUCUUGUUUUACUUAGUGGCGGACGGGUGAGUAACGCGUGAGUAACCUGCCUUACAGAGGGGGACAACAGUUGGAAACGACUGCUAAUACCGCAUAACAUAUUUUGAGGGCAUCCUCGGAAUAUCAAAGGAGCAAUCCGCUGUAAGAUGGACUCGCGUCCAAUUAGAUAGUUGGUGGGGUAACGGCCCACCAAGUCGACGAUUGGUAGCCGGACUGAGAGGUUGAACGGCCACAUUGGGACUGAGACACGGCCCAG